RNAcentral lists this ribosomal RNA (478 nucleotides) under uncultured bacterium. RNAcentral's name for it is "partial 16S ribosomal RNA". It matches the Rfam family "Bacterial small subunit ribosomal RNA", at positions 28 to 507 of the family's 1533-position model. The record is from RNAcentral.
GACGAACGCUGGCGGCGUGCUUAACACAUGCAAGUCGAACGGGAUUUAGUAGACAGAAGCCUCGGCUAAAGAUUACUAAUGAGAGUGGCGAACGGGUGAGUAACGCGUGAGCAACCUGCCUAUGACAGUGGGAUAGCCUCGGGAUACCGGGAUUAAUACCGCAUAAAAUCGUAGAAACGCAUGUUUUAACGGUCGAGGAUUUAUCGGUCAUAGAUGGGCUCGCAUCUGAUUAGCUGGUUGGUGAGAGAACAGCCCACCAAGGCGACGAUCAGUAGCCGGUCUGAGAGGAUGAACGGCCACAUUGAAGCUGAGACACAGUCCAAAAUCCUACGGGAGGCAGCAGUGGGGAAUAUUGCACAAUGGGGGAAACCCUGAUGCAGCGACGCCGCGUAAACCAAGAAGGUAGUCGUAACGUAAAGUUCUGUCCUAUGGGAAGAUAAUGACAGUACCAUAGAAGAAAGCUCCGGCUAACUACGUG